Anolis carolinensis (green anole) is the source of this 1596-nucleotide long non-coding RNA. RefSeq lists it as uncharacterized. Lineage: Eukaryota; Metazoa; Chordata; Lepidosauria; Squamata; Anolidae. The record is from RefSeq and is a predicted model, not a curated record. The transcript has 3 exons.
CUUACCCGCUGGCCACGCUGAGAACAUUUCAGCUCCCGCAUGGUAACGUCAGGCAGUGGCAGCAGCCGUAGGGCUCCGCGGACAUCCCUAGAAGAAAGCGAUAAGGCAGCGUGAUCUUACUUGUUUUCUAAAUGCCAGGAGCGAGGAGGCUCAUCUCACAUCGCUAGGAAGGGAGCUCCACAGUUGAGGGGCCACCACCCAGAAGACCCUGUCUCUCAUCCCCACCAGCUGCACCUCUGAAGAAGGUGGGACGGAGAGCAGGGCCUCUUCAAAAAAUCUUAACAUCCGUCCUGGUUCACAGAGGGAGAUAGGUUCAGACAGGGUGACGAAGCUCAAGUCUGCCUGGAAACACAGCGUCUGACCUGACAGUGCUUCUGCCUUAUUCUUUGUGCCUGGGUUCCUUCUGUAGUUCAACAGUAAUAAAAGAAACGAACUCUGCACUUCCUCUGGGACCCUUCAUCCCCAGCAGUGAAAACAGAGACCAGAAAUCGGUUCUACCACAAAUUAAACCCCAGGGAAAGAUCACUCAUGCCCCCAUCCGCACCCAGUUAGAGGAACAGCCCCGACUAACCUGAGCAAACUGACUUUUAAGGAGGAGCUCAUUUUGCCCUUCCUCAAAUUCACACUGAUUCAACUUUCAGUUCUCUGAUGUUUCUAGGCAGGAAGUGGGGUAAAUAGAAAUAAACUGGGAAUCUCCCUCCUUUCCCACCUGAAAGUAAACCAAAUUAAUUAGUGAAGGGCCGGGCUGUGGCGCAGCUGGUUAGUAGCCAGCUGCAAUAAAUCACUAUGAUCAAGAGGUCAUGACUUCGAAGCCGGCCCGUGUCGGAGUGAGCACCUGACCAUUAAAAAAUAGCCCUGCGCAUUGUUGACCUAAGCAACCCGAAAGAUAGUUACAUCUAUGAAGUAGAAAAUUUAGGUACCACUUAUGCGGGGAGGCUAAUUUAACUAAUUUAUGACACCAUAAAAAUCAUCCAGCAACGUUUGGAAGGAGAAAUGAGGAAGUAUCCAUCAAGGACUCGGUGUCACAGUGGAUGAUGAAGCAGCUGUUCCCUCUUGUGGCCAGAAUAGAGCAUACCCUCAAUAAGCUGGAAGCUGGAGAAUGUUAAAUUGCCUCUGUGUCUCCGGCUCUGUCUCUGUCUCUAUGCUCAUAUGGCAUUGAAUGUUUGAUAUGUAAGUGUACAUUGUGAUCGACCCUGAGUCCCCUUCGGGGUGAGAAGAGCGGAAUAUAAAUACAGUAGAGUCUUACUUAUCCAACAUAAACGGGCCGGAAGAAUGUUGGAUAAGUGAAUAUGUUGGAUAAUAAGGAGGGAUUAAGGAAAAGCCUAUUAAACAUCAAAUUAGGUUAGGAUUUUACAAAUUAAGCACCAAAACAUCAUGUUAUACAACAAAUUUGACAGAAAAAAGUAGUUCAAUACGCAGUAAUGUUAUGUAGUAAUUACUGUAUUUACGAAUUUAGCACCAAAAUAUCACGAUGUAUUGAAAUCUUUGACUACAAAAAUGUAUUGGAUAAUCCAGAAUGUUGGAUAAGCGAGUGUUGGAUAAGUGAGACUCUACUGUACUGCAAAUAAAUAAAUAAAUAAAUAAAUUAGAAUUGUU